GACGAACGCUGGCGGCGUGCUUAACACAUGCAAGUCGAACGGAAAGGCCCUGCUUUUGUGGGGUGCUCGAGUGGCGAACGGGUGAGUAACACGUGAGUAACCUGCCCUUGACUUUGGGAUAACUUCAGGAAACUGGGGCUAAUACCGGAUAGGAGCUCCUGCUGCAUGGUGGGGGUUGGAAAGUUUCGGCGGUUGGGGAUGGACUCGCGGCUUAUCAGCUUGUUGGUGGGGUAGUGGCUUACCAAGGCUUUGACGGGUAGCCGGCCUGAGGGGGUGACCGGCCACAUUGGGACUGAGAUACGGCCCAGACUCCUACGGGAGGCAGCAGUGGGGAGUAUUGCACAAUGGGCGGAAGCCUGAUGCAGCAACGCCGCGUGCGGGAUGACGGCCUUCGGGUUGUAAACCGCUUUCGCCUGUGACGAAGCGUGAGUGACGGUAAUGGGUAAAGAAGCACCGGCUAACUACGUG
RNAcentral lists this ribosomal RNA (468 nucleotides) under uncultured bacterium. RNAcentral describes it as "partial 16S ribosomal RNA". It matches the Rfam family "Bacterial small subunit ribosomal RNA", at positions 28 to 507 of the family's 1533-position model. The record is from RNAcentral.